Molecule: ribosomal RNA, 337 nt
Filed under: uncultured bacterium
Lineage: Bacteria
Description: bacterial SSU rRNA
Rfam family: Bacterial small subunit ribosomal RNA
Source: RNAcentral
GACGAACGCUGGCGGCGUGCUUAACACAUGCAAGUUGGACGAGAAAGGCUGAUUUCGGUUGGCCGAGUAAAGUGGCGCACGGGUGAGUAACGCGUAGGCAACCUACCCUUGUAUUGGGGAUAACCCCGCGAAAGCGGGGCUAAUACCGCAUACGGCCUUGUACUGGGAUGUACGAGGAGAAAGGAUUUAUUCGCUGAGGGAUGGGCCUGCGGCCUAUCAGGUAGUUGGUGGGGUAAAGGCCUACCAAGCCUGCGACGGGUAGCCGGACUGAGAGGUCGACCGGCCACACUGGAACUGAGACACGGUCCAGACUCCUACGGGAGGCAGCAGUGGGGAA